ACAGGGAUUGCCUCAGUAACGGCGAGUGAAGCGGCAACAGCUCAAAUUUGAAAUCUGGCCCCAGGCCCGAGUUGUAAUUUGCAGAGGAUGCUUUUGGCGCGGUGCCUUCCGAGUUCCCUGGAACGGGACGCCAUAGAGGGUGAGAGCCCCGUACGGUUGGACACCAAGCCUUUGUAAAGCUCCUUCGACGAGUCGAGUAGUUUGGGAAUGCUGCUCUAAAUGGGAGGUAUAUUUCUUCUAAAGCUAAAUAUAGGCCAGAGACCGAUAGCGCACAAGUAGAGUGAUCGAAAGAUGAAAAGCACUUUGAAAAGAGGGUUAAACAGCACGUGAAAUUGUUAAAAGGGAAGCGCUUGUGACCAGACUUGCGUCCGGUGAAUCACCCAGCUCUCGCGGCUGGGGCACUUUGCCGGCACAGGCCAGCAUCAGCUCGCUGUCGGGGACAAAAGCUUCGGGAACGUAGCUCUCUUCGGGGAGUGUUAUAGCCCGUUGCAUAAUACCCUUCGGUGGGCUGAGGUACGCGCUCCGCAAGGAUGCUGGCGUAAUGGUCAUCAGCGACCCGUCUUGAAACACGGACCAAGGAGUCAACCUUAUGUGCGAGUGUUUGGGUGUUAAACCCCUACGCGUAAUGAAAGUGAACGCAGGUGAGAGCUUCGGCGCAUCAUCGACCGAUCCUGAUGUUCUCGGAUGGAUUUGAGUAAGAGCAUAUAGGGUUGGACCCGAAAGAAGGUGAACUAUGCGUGUAUAGGGUGAAGCCAGAGGAAACUCUGGUGGAGGCUCGCAGCGGUUCUGACGUGCAAAUCGAUCGUCAAAUAUGCGCAUGGGGGCGAAAGACUAAUCGAACCUUCUAGUAGCUGGUUUCCGCCGAAGUUUCCCUCAGGAUAGCAGUGUUGAACUCAGUUUUAUGAGGUAAAGCGAAUGAUUAGGGACUCGGGGGCGCUAUAUUGCCUUCAUCCAUUCUCAAACUUUAAAUAUGUAAGAAGCUCUUGUUACUUAAUUGAACGUGGGCAUUCGAAUGUAUCAACACUAGUGGGCCAUUUUUGGUAAGCAGAACUGGCGAUGCGGGAUGAACCGAACGCGAGGUUAAGGUGCCAGAGUAGUCGCUCAUCAGACACCACAAAAGGUGUUAGUACAUCUUGACAGCAGGACGGUGGCCAUGGAAGUCGGAAUCCGCUAAGGACUGUGUAACAACUCACCUGCCGAAUGUACUAGCCCUGAAAAUGGAUGGCGCUCAAGCGACUCACCCAUACCUCGCCCUCAGCGUAGAAACGAUGCGCUGAGGAGUAGGCGGACGUGGAGGUCAGUGACGAAGCCUA
This 1313-nucleotide ribosomal RNA is filed under the name Colletotrichum dematium. RNAcentral's name for it is "LSU rRNA". It matches the Rfam family "Eukaryotic large subunit ribosomal RNA", at positions 68 to 1412 of the family's 3401-position model. Lineage: Eukaryota; Fungi; Ascomycota; Sordariomycetes; Glomerellales; Glomerellaceae. The record is from RNAcentral.